This is a long non-coding RNA of Ictalurus punctatus (channel catfish), 608 nucleotides long. The record is from Ensembl. Lineage: Eukaryota; Metazoa; Chordata; Actinopteri; Siluriformes; Ictaluridae.
GGCAUAUUACAUGCACAUCCGGCCAAGAGCGAUCAGGAGUGACCUGAACUGUGACAGAUUUUUUCCUUUCGUCAGCUGGCACGGCUUUGCUCACAGUUUCAAACGACCUUGGUGUGCUCCACAAAGCUUAUGAAAAAAGCUGGAGAGAGUGCACACUGGAAAGCUUUUUAAGAGCCACCACUCGUCAGGCAAGAAGUGCGGCAGAGUCAGCAGCAGCUAACCCGAAGGACACGGAGAAGGAGGCCGUGUCCUUUCACCUGGCCUAUGACACUGCCGUGGCCAGACUGCGCAGAGUACCGACGCCACAGGCUGUAGCCGCCACGGCUACAUUGCUGGACUCCUUGGCAGGACUUUUUAAAGAUGUUUCCGGCGUCGGCAGACAGCAAACCACCCACCAAACAGGACAGGUUAAAGGCAGGGUUUCCGGGGGAUCGUGUCUUCUACGACAAGUGGCGUGCCUCCCAAAAGGCCAAAAGAAUGGAACUGCUGCUGUGCAAUGUCCUUUAUCCGAAAACCACGAGAAAGCAGGGUGAAAUUCAGGAUUGUGAAGGAGGGGUGGAAGAACAACUGUCCGAAGCCAGCGGACGUUUUGGCGGCAUGGAAACCAG